UACGUAGGCAGCAAGCGUUGUUCGGAUUUACUGGGCGUAAAGGGCGCGUAGGCGGCCACUGCAAGUCAGUUGUGAAAUCUCCGGGCUUAACCCGGAAAGGUCAACUGAUACUGCAGGGCUAGAGUGCAGAAGGGGCAACUGGAAUUCUCGGUGUAGCGGUGAAAUGCGUAGAUAUCGAGAGGAACACCUGCGGCGAAGGCGGGUUGCUGGGCUGACACUGACGCUGAUGCGCGAAAGCUAGGGGAGCGAACGGG
Molecule: ribosomal RNA, 254 nt
Filed under: uncultured bacterium
Lineage: Bacteria
Description: partial 16S ribosomal RNA
Rfam family: Bacterial small subunit ribosomal RNA
Source: RNAcentral